GACGUAGGGCGCGAGCGUUGUCCGGAUUUAUUGGGCGUAAAGAGCGUGUAGGCGGCUUGGUAGGUCCGCUGUGAAAACUCGAGGCUCAACCUCGAGAUGUCGGCGGAAACCACUUGGCUAGAGUCCGGAAGAGGAGAGUGGAAUUCCCGGUGUAGCGGUGAAAUGCGCAGAUAUCGGGAAGAACACCUAUGGCGAAGGCAGCUCUCUGGGACGGUACUGACGCUGAGACGCGAAAGCGUGGGGAGCGAACAGG
This 253-nucleotide ribosomal RNA is filed under the name uncultured bacterium. Its description in RNAcentral is "partial 16S ribosomal RNA". It matches the Rfam family "Bacterial small subunit ribosomal RNA", at positions 524 to 776 of the family's 1533-position model. The record is from RNAcentral.